RNAcentral lists this ribosomal RNA (1439 nucleotides) under uncultured Bordetella sp. RNAcentral describes it as "partial 16S-23S ribosomal RNA intergenic spacer". It matches the Rfam family "Bacterial small subunit ribosomal RNA". The record is from RNAcentral. Lineage: Bacteria; Pseudomonadati; Pseudomonadota; Betaproteobacteria; Burkholderiales; Alcaligenaceae.
GGUUUGAUUCUGGCUCAGAUUGAACGCUGGCGGAUGCUUUACACAUGCAAGUCGAAUGGCAGCACGGACUUGGUCUGGUGGCGAGUUACGAACGGGUGAGUAAUGUAUCGGAACGCCCAGUAUGGGGAUAACUACGCUGUGCCAGCAUGGCUUACACCCUUCCGGGAAAGCGGGGGAUCUCUGGCCUCGCACGCUGAGUUAUUGAUACCAGAUUGUGUUUGGUUGGCGGGUAACGGCUCACCGGCGAUCCAGCUGGUUUGAGAUAUUUGACCUGCGCCCGCUUAUCGGGACUGAGACACGGCCCAGACUCCUACGGAGGCAGCAGUGGGGAAUUUUGACAAUGGGGAAACCUCGAUCCAGCCGUAUCCCGCGUGUGCGAUGGCUGGCCUCACAGUACACUUUGGCAGGAAAGAAACGGUACGGGAUAAUAUUCCCGCCAACCGACGGUACCUUGCAGAAUAAGCACCGGCUAACUACGUGCGCCAGCAGCCGCGGUAAUACGCGGGUGCAAGCACCGGAAUUACCUGGCGUAAAGCGCGUGCAGGCGGUUCGGAAAGAAAGAUGAACUCAGAGCUAACUUGGAACUGGCAUUUUUAAAUCACCGAGCUGGAGUGUCAGAGGGAGGGAAUUCCAGCAGCGAGCGUAGAUAUGCGGAGGAACACCGAUGGCGAAGGCAGCCUCCUGGGAUAACACUGACGCCUACGCACGAAAGCGUGGGGAGCAAACAGGAUUAGAUACCCCGGUAGUCCACGCCCCGCAAACGAUGUCAACUAGCUGUUGGGGCCUGGGCCUUGGUAGCGCAGCUAACGCGUGAAGUUGACCGCCUGGGGAGCAUGGUCGCAAGAUUAAAACUCAAAGGAAUUGACGGGGACCGCAGGGCCAAGCGGCGAGAUGAUGGGAUUAACUGUUGAUGCGACGCGAAAACCUUACCUACCCUUACAUGUUCAAUCCCAGUAGAUUGGGGAGUGCUCGGCAAAAGAGAACCGGAACGCGGCGGUGCUGCAUGGCUGUCGUCAGCUCGUGUCGGUUGGGUUAAGUCCCGCAACGAGCAACCCUUGUCAUUAGUUGCUACGAAAGGCACGCCCCACGAGAUCUGGUGACAAACCGAGGGAAGGUGGGGACGACGUCAAGUCCUCAUGGCCCUUUUUCAUGGGUAGGGCUUCACAUCGUCGCACAAUGGUCGGACAGAGGGUCGCCAACCCGCGAGGGGGAGCCAAUCCCAGAAACCCGGAUCGUAGUCCGGAUCGCAGUCUGCAAACUCGAUCGCGUGUGAAGUCGGAAUCGCUAGUAAUCGCGGAUCAGUAGUAGUCGCGGUGAAUACGUUCCCGGUCUUGCACACACCGCCCGUCACAGUCCGAGUGGGUUUUACCAGAAGUAGUUAUCAUCCAAGAGUACAUUACCACGCAGAUUCAUGACUGGGGCGAAGUCGUAACAAUAAG